AUCGCUUCUCGGCCUUUUGGCUAAGAUCAAGUGUAGUAUCUGUUCUUAUCAGUUUAAUAUCUGAUAUGUCCUCUAUAUGGGGACAAAGUAUUAAACGGAUUUUUAGCACCUGGAGCUGAAAGAGGGGCUUGCUCCGUUCACUCCACGCAUCGACCCGGUAUUGCAGUGCCGCCGGGAACGGUGCACCCUUC
Molecule: small nuclear RNA, 191 nt
Organism: Thunnus maccoyii (southern bluefin tuna)
Lineage: Eukaryota; Metazoa; Chordata; Actinopteri; Scombriformes; Scombridae
Product: U2 spliceosomal RNA
Exons: 1
Source: RefSeq, a predicted model, not a curated record